CGCACUAGUCGGGGAGUUAGCGGUGCCCUGUACCUGCAAUCCGCUCCAGCAGGGAUGAAUUCCUAUACCCGGGUGCGUUUUACGCUUUCACUGCCCGAAACGCGGUGUUGACAGAGCGGUCUUGCGCAACGAGACCCCGUGAACCAUGUCAGGUGGGGAACCAAGCAGCAUUAAGCGGAAUGUUUCGUGUGCCGCGAGGUUGCCGUUCUUGAGCCGGCUGUCUGGCUG
Molecule: signal recognition particle RNA, 228 nt
Filed under: uncultured Faecousia sp.
Lineage: Bacteria; Bacillati; Bacillota; Clostridia; Eubacteriales; Oscillospiraceae
Description: Bacterial large signal recognition particle RNA
Rfam family: Bacterial large signal recognition particle RNA
About the family: The signal recognition particle (SRP) is a universally conserved ribonucleoprotein involved in the co-translational targeting of proteins to membranes. Archaeal SRP consists of a 7S RNA and homologues of the eukaryotic SRP19 and SRP54 proteins.
Source: RNAcentral